Molecule: ribosomal RNA, 424 nt
Filed under: uncultured Synechococcus sp.
Lineage: Bacteria; Bacillati; Cyanobacteriota; Cyanophyceae; Synechococcales; Synechococcaceae
Description: partial 16S ribosomal RNA
Rfam family: Bacterial small subunit ribosomal RNA
Source: RNAcentral
GGGGAAUUUUCCGCAAUGGGCGAAAGCCUGACGGAGCAACGCCGCGUGUGGGAUGAAGGCCUGUGGGUUGUAAACCACUUUUCUCAGGGACGAAGMUCUGACGGUACCUGAGGAAUCAGCCUCGGCUAACUCUGWGCCAGCAGCCGCGGUAAGACMGAGGWRSRAAGCGUUAUCCGGAAUUAUUGGGCGUAAAGCGUCCGUAGGUGGUUUGACAAGUCUGGGGUCAAAGCCCGGAGCCCAACUCCGGAUCGGCCUUGGAAACUGUCAGACUGGAGUAAGGUAGGGGUUGCGGGAAUUCCCGGUGUAGCGGUGAAAUGCGUAGAUAUCGGGAAGAACACCAGCGGCGAAAGCGCGCAACUGGGCCAUUACUGACACUGAGGGACGAAWGCYARGGAAGCGAAAGGGAUUAGAUACCCCAGUAGUC